GGGCGGUUAGCUCAAUGGUAGAGCGCUUACUUGACGUGUAAGAUGUUAUAGGUUCGAAUCCUUUACCGCCCA
This 72-nucleotide transfer RNA is filed under the name bacterium. RNAcentral's name for it is "tRNA-Val". It matches the Rfam family "tRNA". From Rfam's summary of the family: Transfer RNA (tRNA) molecules are approximately 80 nucleotides in length. Their secondary structure includes four short double-helical elements and three loops (D, anti-codon, and T loops). Further hydrogen bonds mediate the characteristic L-shaped molecular structure. tRNAs have two regions of fundamental functional importance: the anti-codon, which is responsible for specific mRNA codon recognition, and the 3' end, to which the tRNAs corresponding amino acid is attached (by aminoacyl-tRNA synthetases). tRNAs cope with the degeneracy of the genetic code in two manners: having more than one tRNA (with a specific anti-codon) for a particular amino acid; and 'wobble' base-pairing, i.e. permitting non-standard base-pairing at the 3rd anti-codon position. The record is from RNAcentral. RNAcentral also lists the same sequence under 2 other names.